Molecule: ribosomal RNA, 253 nt
Filed under: uncultured bacterium
Lineage: Bacteria
Description: partial 16S ribosomal RNA
Rfam family: Bacterial small subunit ribosomal RNA
Source: RNAcentral
UACAGAGGUGGCAAGCGUUGUUCGGAAUUACUGGGCGUAAAGGGCGCGUAGGCGGCCAUCCAAGUCAGACGUGAAAUCCCCCGGCUUAACCUGGGAACUGCGUCUGAUACUGGACGGCUUGAGUAUGGGAGAGGGAUGUAGAAUUCCAGGUGUAGCGGUGAAAUGCGUAGAUAUCUGGAGGAAUACCGGUGGCGAAGGCGGCAUCCUGGACCAUUACUGACGCUGAGGCGCGAAAGCUAGGGGAGCAAACGGG